Molecule: unclassified non-coding RNA, 2219 nt
Filed under: Acanthaster planci (crown-of-thorns starfish)
Lineage: Eukaryota; Metazoa; Echinodermata; Asteroidea; Valvatida; Acanthasteridae
Description: zinc finger protein PLAG1-like, transcript variant X5
Source: RNAcentral
ACUGGAGAGAAAAGAAAAAGAAGUUAAUAUUACGAUAUCGAUAUAAUUUCCAGGAUAGCCAAACAGAUUUUAAAUGUACAAAUGUAUGUUUGCCAACACAUGUUUGCUCAAAUGUCAGACCAGAUUAGGGUUUCAGAGCUACAUGUUGUACGGGUCCAAGUUGAAGAGAUCCCUUUAAUGUUGAAAAUCUCAUGGUGAUAAAUUGUUUUCAUUCAAUUUUCUAACAACUGUGAGUGGAAUUGGAGAGAUCUCAAUGAGUUGACUGUAUUGGCCCUUUUCAAUGGCAUGUAACUUUGCAUGACCCAGUAACUAUUGCAAAAAUUACGUUUAAAUUUUCAAUGGCUCUCAUUACAGAUAACCAUUCUGAGCUUCUCCGAGCUCAAUGCGAGAUGACAGUACCCUCACUUUUAGAACAAUGUGUAGAUACAAUAGCCUCGGGGAAUGGGGAUAAUGACUUUGUGACCAAGGUCAACUCAGCUGAAGUGAUGACAGGGCUGCCAGGAAUCCAGGAUGAAAACAACCAGACUGGUGCAAGCAAGACUUAGAUGAAGAACGCGAGGAAGCCGAAGAGUUAUGGUGUUAAACGGAAAGACACAGAGGACACUACAUGCACAAAGAAAAGUAGGAGUUGGAAAGAUGCGGACCUACAGAAGAAAACGUCCAGUUCCAAGAAAGAGCAGGUAUGGACUUGACUUGCCCCAACCCUGGAUGAGGAAACUGCCAUGGAGAUAGAGUUGCAAGACAGCCAAGGCACUCAAGAGCAUGAGGAAGUGGAUGCAGAAGGCAAAGUACAGAACACCAGCAGACAAUGCAUCCCACAUGCAAGAUCACGACUGGCCAUUAUCUCCAAUUCCAUUGCCUUCUAGCAGUGUGCAAGCAGACAUUCCAUCGAGCUGAAUGCAUGCAGGGAGUCAUGCAACUGCGUCUGCUCAAAGACAGUCAAUGUCGUUCAAAGACAGGCUUUGAGCAACAGGGAGCUGCUUCUUAAGAACAAUCGCCUUCUGUGACUUCUACCCAAAGAAAAUGUCAGCAACAACCAGCCAGAUUAUUCUGUGCAGAGCACAGGCACAUUUGCAUAGCCCACCGAGGGUAAAGUGGUACAUAUAUGUGCAUUUGAGGAUUCAUUACUUCCUCAAGAAAAUCUCAUGAGAAUGUACAACUCUAUUUCCAACUUUGCGUUAACUCUUGUGUGAGAGUUAUUUUCAGAGGAAGAAAUAUUUAAAUUCAACUGUAGGGGGUUAAAGAGCAAACAGGCAUUGGAUUCUGUCUGGCUAACUUUCGUGAAGGACACAAUCGAGAAAUAUGCAACAGUACCAAAGAAAGAGUAUGAGGAAUUUUAGGUCAAGAAAUUUGUCAUUGCUAUUGAUGAAGGGUGCAGGAGAAUAAGCAGAAAACCAAAGGGAAAUAAGAAAAAAGUCUCCUUGAACAGUUUAGCAUUUAUUCCCUAUAUAAGGUGUAUGGAUUGAUUAUUUUUCUAUUAUUUUUGACGCCCAUACAUGUACUUCAUUUGGAUAUUUUCUCGAUUCGUAAUUAUUCUUAUUUAUUCCCCCUAUAACAUAUUUGGAUUGAUUAUUAUGUACAUGUACAUGUAUUACCUAAUUUGAAAAAUUUUUGACACCCAAUUUUAAUUUUAGCACUUGUUUAGAAAUAAACGUGGAUGUCCAUAAAAAUUUUACAACUUUCUGUAGUGUAUUUUUCAAAAUACAGAUUAGCUCAUUAUGUCUCACCUAUUACUGUCUGACAUAUUUGGCUUAAUGGGUUCAGCAAACUGGCUGCAUGGCUUUGCAUCAAUCAGUAGAGGCCUCACAGGGUUGAGAGAAUGUAGUACUUCUUCAGGACCCAGACACCUAAAACUGUCUCGAGGGUAAUAAUUUGUGAAGCCAGAAGGCCACAAGGAAAUUACUGUUUAACCAUGGUAAGUUAGGUGCUAAAAAUGGCCACUUCGGCUUACAGUAGAUUUUUGAAGGGGCAACACACAAAUUAAAACUCUGCUGGUUUGAUUGCUGCUUUUUACGACAGUUGUUUCUUAACCAUCAAGCUGUUUCUGUCAUUUGGCCUAGGGAAUGGUUCCCUUGAUCUGUGUCCGAUAUUUCCAUUACACAUGGAAGAGGAAACCCUUAUGGAUUGCUGAAUUUUACGAUAGUUUUCCCCCUAUCGGCAAGCUGUUUCGGUAGCAGUAAGUUACCACUGGAAUUUACAGGCGUUGGCUUUCGGAUUGG